GACGAACGCUGGCGGCGUGCUUAACACAUGCAAGUCGAACGGCAAGGCCCUGCUUUUGUGGGGUGCUCGAGUGGCGAACGGGUGCGUAACACGUGAGUAACCUGCCCUUGUCUUUGGUAUAACUUCAGGAAACUGGGGCUAAUACCGGAUAGGAUCUCCUGCUGCAUGGUGGGGGUUGGAAAGUUUCGGCGGUUGGGGAUGGACUCGCGGCUUAUCAGCUUGUUGGUGGGGUAGUGGCUGACCAAGGCUUUGACGGGUAGCCGGCCUGAGAGGGUGACCGGCCACAAUGGGACUGAGGGACGGCGCAGACUGCAAAGGGAGGCAGCAGUGGGGAAUAUUGCACAAUGGGCGGAAGCCUGAUGCAGCAACGCCGCGUGCGGGAUGACGGCCUUCGGGGUGUAAACCGCUUUCGCCUGUGACGAAGCGUGAGUGACGGUAAUGGGUAAAGAAGCACCGGCUAACUACGUG
RNAcentral lists this ribosomal RNA (468 nucleotides) under uncultured bacterium. RNAcentral's name for it is "partial 16S ribosomal RNA". It matches the Rfam family "Bacterial small subunit ribosomal RNA", at positions 28 to 507 of the family's 1533-position model. The record is from RNAcentral.